AGCGAACGCUGGCGGCAGGCUUAACACAUGCAAGUCGAGCGGGCACUUCGGUGUCAGCGGCAGACGGGUGAGUAACACGUGGGAACGUACCCUUCGGUUCGGAAUAACGCUGGGAAACUAGCGCUAAUACCGGAUACUCCCUUUUGGGGAAAGGUUUACUGCCGAAGGAUCGGCCCGCGUCUGAUUAGCUAGUUGGUGGGGUAAUGGCCUACCAAGGCGACGAUCAGUAGCUGGUCUGAGAGGAUGAUCAGCCACACUGGGACUGAGACACGGCCCAGACUCCUACGGGAGGCAGCAGUGGGGAAUAUUGGACAAUGGGCGCAAGCCUGAUCCAGCCAUGCCGCGUGAGUGAUGAAGGCCUUAGGGUUGUAAAGCUCUUUUGUCCGGGACGAUAAUGACGGUACCGGAAGAAUAAGCCCCGGCUAACUUCGUG
Molecule: ribosomal RNA, 433 nt
Filed under: uncultured bacterium
Lineage: Bacteria
Description: partial 16S ribosomal RNA
Rfam family: Bacterial small subunit ribosomal RNA
Source: RNAcentral